Molecule: ribosomal RNA, 107 nt
Filed under: Carlito syrichta (Philippine tarsier)
Lineage: Eukaryota; Metazoa; Chordata; Mammalia; Primates; Tarsiidae
Source: RNAcentral
GUCUAUGGCCAUACCACCCUGAACCUAUCCAAUGCCUGAUGUCAGAAGCUAAGCAGGGUAGGGCUUGUUUAGUACUUGGAUCGGAGAAAUACCACUUUCCUUCCAAA